AUGGUUAGUGCCAAGAGACUUUCUCAGAUGGCAAAGAAGUGGCAGACAAUAGCGGCCAUCGGGAGGAAGAGGCUCACCCGGACCACAACAGCGGCGAAAGGAGCAGGUAAUGACGAGUGCUGCGCCACUUCACCGUCGGUGGCAAUGAAGGGCCACUGUGUGGUGUACACCGCCGACAGGGCGCGGUUCGAGGUGCCGCUGGCAUACCUCGGCACAUCGAUCUUCAGCGAGCUUCUGAGGAUGUCCCAGGAGGAGUUCCGCGGCGAUGACGGGAGGAUCAUGCUGCCCUGCGAUGCCGCAGUCAUGGAGUACGCCAUGUGCUUGCUCCAGAGAGAUGCCUCCAUGGAAGUCAUGAAGGCAUUCAUGAGCUCUGUCGCAAGGCCGCGCAGCUUUGAAGGUAGUGUGGUGGGCAUAGGGCUUAAUCAGCAACUGGCUGUUUGUUAG
Molecule: ribosomal RNA, 444 nt
Filed under: Triticum aestivum (bread wheat)
Lineage: Eukaryota; Viridiplantae; Streptophyta; Magnoliopsida; Poales; Poaceae
Description: partial small subunit ribosomal RNA
Source: RNAcentral